This 468-nucleotide ribosomal RNA is filed under the name uncultured bacterium. Its description in RNAcentral is "partial 16S ribosomal RNA". It matches the Rfam family "Bacterial small subunit ribosomal RNA", at positions 28 to 507 of the family's 1533-position model. The record is from RNAcentral.
GACGAACGCUGGCGGCGUGCUUAACACAUGCAAGUCGAACGGAAAGGCCCUGCUUUUGUGGGGUGCUCGAGUGGCGAACGGGUGAGUAACACGUGAGUAACCUGCCCUUGACUUUGGGAUAACUUCAGGAAACUGGGGCUAAUACCGGAUAGGAGCUCCUGCUGCAUGGUGGGGGUUGGAAAGUUUCGGCGGUUGGGGAUGGACUCGCGGCUUAUCAGCUUGUUGGUGGGGUAGUGGCUUACCAAGGCUUUGACGGGUAGCCGGCCUGAGAGGGUGACCGGCCACAUUGGGACUGAAAUACGGCCCAGACUCCUACGGGAGGCAGCAGUGGGAAAUAUUGCACAAUGGGCGGAAGCCUGAUGCAGCAACGCCGCGUGCGGGAUGACGGCCUUCGGGUUGUAAACCGCUUUCGCCUGUGACGAAGCGUGAGUGACGGUAAUGGGUAAAGAAGCACCGGCUAACUACGUG